Molecule: long non-coding RNA, 2865 nt
Filed under: Chlamydomonas reinhardtii
Lineage: Eukaryota; Viridiplantae; Chlorophyta; Chlorophyceae; Chlamydomonadales; Chlamydomonadaceae
Description: long non-coding RNA (CREI_LNC000072)
Source: RNAcentral
CGGGGGACACGCCCGGUUCAGGGUACCCCCCAACUUUAAGACCCUAGGCGGGGGUGCUAUGCCAGUCGGUACACGCUGGGAUUUCGGCAGUAGCUCCCGGCCACUGUCCUGGACACGUUUGCACCCUUCCGGUGGUGUAACGGAUGGAUUAAUGUCGUACGGCAAGCGUGUGUGUUUUGACACGCGGUUUUAGGGGGGGCGGAGGGGUGAACAGACUGACCCCAUGCUAACUGCCUCAGGGCGGGCCCCCACGCUUCCUAUCGCAUGUAUACAUCUAUAUGUAUAAGCUCACCAGCUACGAGCGCGAUCGGAGGCCAGGGUGUGCUCGACGGGGACACUUCCGGGCAGGCACGCACGCAUGUGUGCUGAGCUGGGUACAUGGGGACGGAGGUCCCAGAAAACGGGGCCUGACACAGCCCUGAAGCUUUAUAUAGCACAUAUAUGCAUACAAGAUUAUGUUUUGACGACCGCAGCACCGACAGUUGUUGUUCCGACCAGCAUGCUGUAUGCAUGUCCACCGAAUGGUCUUGCCGGCGGGCUACAGCACCUAAUAUAUGCUUUAUAUGCUCUAUCUAGGCGACGGCAAUCUUAAAAGCUAGUCGAGCUGCCCUUUGGAUGAAACCAAAUUCAUGGCGGACCUCUUGAGCAGCGGGGACCCAAACGGACCUGCAACCGCUCCUAAAGUCGCCUACAUGGCAUAUGGAAGCAACCCAGAUGCAUCGGAAGGUGCAACUCUGACUUUGUUGGCGGUCCCAUAGGAAAUGACACUGCUCGCCGAGGCCUGCGAGCCUGCGCUUAUAGGUGCAAUUGCUUUCAUAGGGUGUAAAUAAUCGUAGUCAGGGCUUGUAGGUUCACGCUUAGCGGAUUUGAGCGAACAUGCUCAAAAUUGGUCUCGCGCUCGCGGGACCUUCACGACACCUAGCCCGCUAUUAUGUGUGAACAUAUGCUGCUCACAUACCGAGGGUAACGUGCUUUAUAGAAUUGUAAAUGGUGCUUGUAUGAAUAAGAACGCCCAAUCCUGGGUUUUGACCCCGCCCGAAACCGGGCGUGUCCCCCGUGUGGGGUAGGGUGAAGACAGCGGCGGGUUGGGGGCAUCUUAUGUUGUGCUGCCCACACCCGCCCGGGUGGGUGGGGCACCAGGUUUGGUGAGGCGAUGUUGGACUUGUACUUGACGAGCGUGUGGCGGCCUGUGCUUGGAUGGGGACCUCGGCGGCACCUGCCGUCGCCGCUCCUGGGGCCGGCGUCGCCCCUGGCGGCGGCGGAACGCAUAGCCGCGGCGGUGGCCUUGCUCCCAGGUGGCUGGGAGGCCGCGGCGCGUGCGGCUCGACUGGCUCGCGGGCGGGCGUGGGUCAUGCCGCUUCCUGCGGAUGCCGUGCGACAGGCGGCGGCGGGGGCCUUGACCCAGGUGGUGCGGGGACUGGGCUGGGUCCUGGACGGGGGCCCGCCUCUGCUGCUGUUGAACUACUCCGUGAAGGCAGGAACGGCCAUGCAACUGGGCCCCCAGGUUGCGGCGCUGCGGUCUAAACAUUUGUUGUAUGUGCGUGAUGCUGGUGUUUCUGCGGACGGCGCGCUUGCGGCUGCCGGCGCCUUUGCCGGCACUCUGGCCCGUUUGUGGGCGUUAAAAUGGGAAAAUUAUCACAAGGAAGCGUUGUGGCGGGUGGCGGCCAAUGCGUGCUGGUCGUUCCCCAAAAAUGCCGCCCAGCGUGCAGCUGGGGUGGCAAUGCCCCUGUGCCGGGCGUGUGGGCGGGAUAUGUGUGAUGGGGACCGCCGGCACUACUUUUGGGACUGUGUUGUUGCUCGGGCGCUGCGGGAGAACAUGGCUGUGGCAAUGCUGGGGUCCCCUCCUGACACGGCUGAUGACUGUUUCUCCCGUGCUGACCUUUGGCUGGUGCAGCCGCCUGCUGGGCUGGCGCCGCCGGUGUGGGAUGUAGUGUGUUUGGCUGCGCUGUCUGCCCUUGACUCGGGCCGGCAGCAGGUGAUUAUGACUGGCUUGCGUGUGCGUCGGGCUCUGACGUCGGCGGAAGUCAUGCGCAUCAGUGUGUCCGUUAUUGCUGAUUUCUGGGGCCGGCUGCAAUCAUAUGUCAGUCUCGGCCUCCGCCCGAAAGCCUGGGCCACGGUGCCUGCGCACCAUCCGUUCCUCUCGCGGGGUGCGGGUGACUGUGUGCUGCUAGUGUUGCCUGAUGAUGUGGGCUCCCCGCCCCCCUCGCCUUAAUUUGCUCGUGGGUGGUGGGAGCGGUGUGCCUCUGGUGUGUGCGCUGUGGGUGUGGGGCGUCGACGUGGGCGUCGCCGGACUACGUGCCCGGUGUACCUGCGUUGACGCCUCGCCGGUUUGAUUGCGCCUCGUGCGCUAGUGCGGUUUGCUGUACGUUGGUGGGGCUUUGGCGGGCUUGGGCUUAGCUUCGACUCGCUGUGCAGCUGCCGAGACACGCAUUACGCGAAGACCUGUUGCACGGUUGUGGAAGGUCGGUAGCCAACUGGGGGGAGGGUGGUUUCCUUUCGGGCCGGAGAUGGUCCCUCUUGACCUGGGUGCACGGGCACCCUUGCUUGGUCGGAUUGUCCCUUCUUUGUAAUAUCGCAACCUUAUGUUGCACCGGGACCGUACCCCGCGUGUUGAUACAGCCGAACCAACCUGUCACACAAACCCUCCUGCAACUCCCAUGUGUUCCCUUGCGUUCCCGCUCUAUCACCACACACUCUAUCCCCCUCCCACACUCGCUAUCCCCCCCACACACACACAAUCCCAAGAUCCCUCCCCAACCUCCCCCCCCCCUCCCAUCCUCCCACCCUUCCUCCCACCCUCCUCCCUCUCACCCUGGCGUACAGCUCCUGCUUGGCCGCCGCCAUGUCGGCGCUGGCCCCCUUGCC